RNAcentral lists this ribosomal RNA (329 nucleotides) under uncultured eukaryote. RNAcentral describes it as "partial 18S ribosomal RNA". It matches the Rfam family "Eukaryotic small subunit ribosomal RNA", at positions 1470 to 1796 of the family's 1831-position model. The record is from RNAcentral.
CCCUUAGAUGUUCUGGGCCGCACGCGCGCUACACUGACGAUGGCAACGAGUUUUUCCUUCGCCGAAAGGUGUGGGUAAUCUUUUGAAACAUCGUCGUGCUGGGGAUAGAUCAUUGCAAUUUUUGAUCUUGAACGAGGAAUUCCUAGUAAGCGCGAGUCAUCAGCUCGCAUUGAUUACGUCCCUGCCCUUUGUACACACCGCCCGUCGCUACUACCGAUUGAAUGGUUUAGUGAGGACUCCUGAUUGGCGCCGCCGCCCCGGCAACGGAGCAGCGGACUGCCGAAAAGUUGUUCAAACUUGAUCAUUUAGAGGAAGUAAAAGUCGUAACA